CCUACGGGAGGCUGCAGUGGGGAAUAUUGCACAAUGGGCGCAAGCCUGAUGCAGCGACGCCGCGUGAGGGAUGACGGCCUUCGGGUUGUAAACCUCUUUCGCCAGUGAAGCAGCCGCCUUUUUCUUGGGGGUGGUGACGGUAGCUGGAUAAGAAGCGCCGGCUAACUACGUGCCAGCAGCCGCGGUAAUACGUAGGGCGCGAGCGUUGUCCGGAAUUAUUGGGCGUAAAGGGCUCGUAGGCGGCUGGUCGCGUCUGUCGUGAAAUCCCUCGGCUUAACCGGGGGCUUGCGGUGGGUACGGGCCGGCUUGAGUGCGGUAGGGGAGACUGGAAUUCCUGGUGUAGCGGUGGAAUGCGCAGAUAUCAGGAAGAACACCGGUGGCGAAGGCGGGUCUCUGGGCCGUUACUGACGCUGAGGAGCGAAAGCGUGGGGAGCGAACAGGAUUAGAUACCCGUGUAGUC
RNAcentral lists this ribosomal RNA (460 nucleotides) under uncultured Actinomyces sp. RNAcentral's name for it is "bacterial SSU rRNA". It matches the Rfam family "Bacterial small subunit ribosomal RNA", at positions 338 to 795 of the family's 1533-position model. Lineage: Bacteria; Bacillati; Actinomycetota; Actinomycetes; Actinomycetales; Actinomycetaceae. The record is from RNAcentral.